CUGCUUGCUGGGGCAGCACAUAUACUAAAACUGGAACAGUACAGAGAUUAACAUGGCCCCUGAACAAGGACAACAUGCGAUUCAUGAAAUGCUUCAUAGUUAU
Molecule: small nuclear RNA, 103 nt
Organism: Fukomys damarensis (Damara mole-rat)
Lineage: Eukaryota; Metazoa; Chordata; Mammalia; Rodentia; Bathyergidae
Source: Ensembl